UACCUACGGGGCGCAGCAGUAGGGAAUCUUCCACAAUGGGCGAAAGCCUGAUGGAGCAACGCCGCGUGAGUGAAGAAGUAUUUCGGUAUGUAAAGCUCUAUCAGCAGGGAAGAAGAUGACGGUACCUGACCAAGAAGCCCCGGCUAACUACGUGCCAGCAGCCGCGGUAAUACGUAGGGGGCAAGCGUUAUCCGGAUUUACUGGGUGUAAAGGGAGCGCAGACGGCAGUGCAAGUCUGGAGUGAAAGCCCGGGGCCCAACCCCGGAACUGCUCUGGAAACUGUGCGGCUAGAGUACUGGAGGGGG
RNAcentral lists this ribosomal RNA (305 nucleotides) under uncultured bacterium. RNAcentral's name for it is "bacterial SSU rRNA". It matches the Rfam family "Bacterial small subunit ribosomal RNA", at positions 335 to 658 of the family's 1533-position model. The record is from RNAcentral.